Pangasianodon gigas (Mekong giant catfish) is the source of this 73-nucleotide non-coding RNA. The record is from the annotation of a GenBank genome assembly. Lineage: Eukaryota; Metazoa; Chordata; Actinopteri; Siluriformes; Pangasiidae.
UCCCUGGUGGUCUAGCGGCUAAGGAUCCUGAACUCUCACUGCUGCAGCCUGGGUCCGAUUCCCGGGCAGGGAA